RNAcentral lists this ribosomal RNA (578 nucleotides) under Halalaimus sp. Cr86. RNAcentral's name for it is "eukaryotic LSU rRNA". It matches the Rfam family "Eukaryotic large subunit ribosomal RNA", at positions 367 to 944 of the family's 3401-position model. The record is from RNAcentral. Lineage: Eukaryota; Metazoa; Nematoda; Enoplea; Enoplida; Oxystominidae.
CAAAGAACUUUGAAGAGAGAGUUCAAUAGGACGUGAAACCGUACAGAGAAUAAACGUGCGAGUUAGAACGUUGGCGCAGAUUCAGCAAUGCAUCGCAUUGUGCAUUUCUGUGCCGUGGUCGUCGAGGAGUGGCGUGCCCUGACGCGUUGAGUGGUGAGCUGCUUAUGCAGUGUCUGCUCGGCGCCGAGAGUACAAAGUUCCAAAAAGGUGCCGUUUUCGUGAUAAGUCUCCAUCAAAGGUGGUGCUUGCACGAUGUGUACUGUGAUGACCAGUGUUUGACCUUGCACGACCCGUCUUGAAACACGGACCAAGGAGUCUAAAUUGUGCGCGAGCCAUUGGAUUUCAUCUCCAUAGGCGAAACGAAUGUGACGAGGUUGGAUCAUUUUUAUGCGCACCUCGAACGUGUGCUUUGUUCGCAUAGCGCUCAGUCUGAGUGCACAGAUUAGUACCCGAAAGAUGGUGAACUAUGCUUGAGCAGGACGAAGCUAGAGGAAACUCUGGUGGAAGUCCGAAGCGGUUCUGACGUGCAAAUCGAUCGUCAGACUUGAGUAUAGGGGCGAAAGACUAAUCGAACCAUC